RNAcentral lists this ribosomal RNA (1371 nucleotides) under uncultured bacterium. RNAcentral describes it as "bacterial SSU rRNA". It matches the Rfam family "Bacterial small subunit ribosomal RNA", at positions 28 to 1381 of the family's 1533-position model. The record is from RNAcentral.
GAUGAACGCUGGCGGCGUGCCUAAUACAUGCAAGUCGAGCGAACGGACGAGAAGCUUGCUUUUCUGAUGUUAGCGGCGGACGGGUGAGUAACACGUGGAUAACCUACCUAUAAGACUGGGAUAACUUCGGGAAACCGGAGCUAAUACCGGAUAAUAUUUUGAACCGCAUGGUUCAAAAGUGAAAGACGGUCUUGCUGUCACUUAUAGAUGGAUCCGCGCUGCAUUAGCUAGUUGGUAAGGUAACGGCUUACCAAGGCAACGAUGCAUAGCCGACCUGAGAGGGUGAUCGGCCACACUGGAACUGAGACACGGUCCAGACUCCUACGGGAGGCAGCAGUAGGGAAUCUUCCGCAAUGGGCGAAAGCCUGACGGAGCAACGCCGCGUGAGUGAUGAAGGUCUUCGGAUCGUAAAACUCUGUUAUUAGGGAAGAACAUAUGUGUAAGUAACUGUGCACAUCUUGACGGUACCUAAUCAGAAAGCCACGGCUAACUACGUGCCAGCAGCCGCGGUAAUACGUAGGUGGCAAGCGUUAUCCGGAAUUAUUGGGCGUAAAGCGCGCGUAGGCGGUUUUUUAGUCUGAUGUGAAAGCCCACGGCUCAACCGUGGAGGGUCAUUGGAAACUGGAAAACUUGAGUGCAGAAGAGGAAAGUGGAAUUCCAUGUGUAGCGGUGAAAUGCGCAGAGAUGUGGAGGAACACCAGUGGCGAAGGCGACUUUCUGGUCUGUAACUGACGCUGAUGUGCGAAAGCGUGGGGAUCAAACAGGACUAGAUACCCUGGUAGUCCACGCCGUAAACGAUGAGUGCUAAGUGUUAGGGGGUUUCCGCCCCUUAGUGCUGCAGCUAACGCAUUAAGCACUCCGCCUGGGGAGUACGACCGCAAGGUUGAAACUCAAAGGAAUUGACGGGGGCCCGCACAAGCGGUGGAGCAUGUGGUUUAAUUCGAAGCAACGCGAAGAACCUUACCAAAUCUUGACAUCCUUUGACAACUCUAGAGAUAGAGCCUUCCCCUUCGGGGGACAAAGUGACAGGUGGUGCAUGGUUGUCGUCAGCUCGUGUCGUGAGAUGUUGGGUUAAGUCCCGCAACGAGCGCAACCCUUAAGCUUAGUUGCCAUCAUUAAGUUGGGCACUCUAAGUUGACUGCCGGUGACAAACCGGAGGAAGGUGGGGAUGACGUCAAAUCAUCAUGCCCCUUAUGAUUUGGGCUACACACGUGCUACAAUGGACAAUACAAAGGGCAGCGAAACCGCGAGGUCAAGCAAAUCCCAUAAAGUUGUUCUCAGUUCGGAUUGUAGUCUGCAACUCGACUACAUGAAGCUGGAAUCGCUAGUAAUCGUAGAUCAGCAUGCUACGGUGAAUACGUUCCCGGGUCU